AUCUUGCCAAAAAAUUGAUCAAAUUGUUAACAGACUCUCCACUUAAUUCUCUUCUAACCAACUUUAGAAUUUCCAUAAUCUGCAAUUAUCAAAAUGAAAGACUCAAUGAGUAAACGGAUUUUAUUUUAUUUUCUAAGGAAAAAUGAAAAUUAAUAUUAAUUUUAAGAAUAUACUGGGCAUCACACCACUAGUGAUGCAUAACCAUAAAGAAGAUGAGUUCUAGUAAAAAAGCCACCAAAGAAAAACCUACUUACUAAGUUUUCCAGGGUUGAGAUGUACAGAGAUUUUUAUUGGUAGCAAUUUUAUAUCCCUCUUUUCCCCUUCUCGAGUUACUGGAUGAACACAGUUUAAUACAUGUGGAAAGGUAAAUUUUCUUUUUCUUUUGAAUUGUCAUAGCGCAUAUACAAAGUCUGUCCCUGGAUAAAGGUAAGUAGGUAACCACAAAAAAAGAUUUCUCUUCAUACCUAUCUUAUCAUUAACAACUUCAAGGAAGCAAUGAACUCAACCACAUAAACAGACACAAGUGCGUGCACACAAAAUAGUAUUAAAUAACAUCAUUAGUGUAACCAACAGAAGAGAAGUAUCUUACUCCAGGAUAGUGUUGCAAUAUCGGAGAAUAAUGAUCUAGUGCUAUGUAUAUUUUUUCGAGAAGGCUUAGAAGAGUAUCCACCUCGUCACCUAAAAGAUCAACCUCAGCUUCAGCCUUUUGAAGGUCUGAACACCUCUUUUCAAGCCUCUGCUUGUACAGCAACCCUGUCUUUUUAAGUUUGAUAGCUUCCUGAAUGAGAGAACUCAAUUGAGAGCUCAAAGCUUCCAACCUCAAUCUAUUCAUUUUAAUAUCUUCAGUUGCCCGGUAUUCAAAAUCAUUAACUGCUUUUUCCAAUCCUUGGAUAAGAACAAUAGUUGAAUUCAUUUGCUUCCUAUAUUCUCUUUCUCUUGCCUCGGCUGAUGAUAUAGUAUUCUGAUACUGUUGGGAAGUAGAAAGAAGCAAACUUUUCUCCUCAUCUGCUUCUCUUAACUUUUUCGUUACUAUCUCAAGCUGCUCUCUCAACUUGGAGAUCUCCAUUUUAUCCAUUUCAAUUUUCUCUGAUGCAUUAACCAAAUCACCUUUGAUAACUUGUAAGUCUUCAUUAUAUUUUGAAAGCUGCUGAGUUGUCUGAAGCCUUAACUCAUCAAGCUCUUGAGAAACUAACUCAACUUUCUCCUUCUCUUUCGUCAACACCCCCACUCUUUCUUGAAUCAAAUUGCCUUUUUCUUCAAUCGCUGCCCUUAGUAAGAGCAUCUUUUGCUCCAAUUUUUCUCUCUCAGCAAUAUUCAAUCUCAAUUCCUUUUCUUUUUCCGAAGCUUGCAUCUCAAGGGAUACUCGGACUUUACUUUCAUUCAUAUAUUUCAGGUUCAAGGUACCAACUUUCUCCUCAGCUUCCUUGAAGGAUUCUCUAAAAAUAACUUCGCAUAUCCCUUGCAUGAUAAUGGACUCUAUAACUGAAUCUUCAAUCUCUAAAUUACCAGUAGGCUCAACAUUGCGAGUAGCUUCUUUGAAUAUGAUUUCAUAAAUUCCAUCCAUGAUGUCAUGCUCGAUAUCUAACUCUUCUAUGAAGCUUUUCAUUUGGUUGACCAUCUCCUUGAGAAGGAAUUUAUAAAGAUCAUCACUGAUUGAAGCUUCAAUGUUUGCAUCUUCGAUAACGCAUUUAAGAUCUUCAAACAUUCUUGAUAACUUCUCCUCUGCCAAAGAGUGUUCUUGUAUUUUCUCUGCAGCAUCAGAAACUUUUGAGGAAAGACAUUUAAUUUCCUUUUUCUUAUCCAAGAGCAAGUCUCUUAGUUGGCGAUUUUCUAAACAAAGUGAUUCCAGUCUAUCCUUCAAAUUGUUUAGACAAUCUCCAUUGUUACUAAAUGAAGGCAGUUUCUCAUUUUCCAUUAGAAUGCCAUCCAAUUUUAGAAUGACCUCUGGUAUCUUUUUCCUCAACGAAUCAAACUCCUUAUCCUUCCUCACUGGCACAGAAGAACCCCUUUCCUUCAAGUACUCCCUCUUCAAACUGAAAAAUUCUUCUGUCAUUUGUUGCACUUUUAACUCAUGGUCUCUCCUUAUUUUAGUCAUCUCAGACUUAAAAUAAUUAAAUAAUUCUUCCUUUGAGAAGUGCUUUAGUUGUGCAUAAUCCAUAUUUUCUGGAACAACAGUUAUUGAAUCAUCAUGUUUGCCAUUUCCUUCCCAAAGUGAAGUGGACGAAAUAUGAUUAACUGAAGCCUUUCGGUGCUCCAAGGAACCAUGUGAAAUUAAAUGUCCACUUUCAGGAACAGACAAUGAUUUAGAGAUGGCAUCUAACUCCUGACGGAAACUUGUAAUCUCUUUGAUCUUUUCAAGCCAAUUUGCACUCUCAUUACCAUAAGAUUUAGCAUUUUGGUCCCACAGUCUCUGUUCAAACUCUUCUUGAAAACUCUGAAUACAAUUCUUGAUCGCUAUUCCUUCAAUUUCUGCUUGAAAUUCUCUCUCCUGCCGCCAGUCAAAGUGCAAUGACUUGGACAAGCAAACCAUAUCUUCUGCAUGCACGAAGGCAGAUUCCAGAGUAGUUCUAAGACCAUCAAGUGCCCUGUCCACAUCAAUCCAUUUUUCGGGCAUGUUUUCCUCUAGAAUACCACUCAAUCCCAAAGAACCAGAACCCUUCCUAAUCCUGUCAAUUUCUUUCUUGAGCUUUUUAAAUUGAUCUUUCGCUGCAAUUUUAAGGUUGCCCAAAAAAUCUUGUAAUCUCUCAUGAUCUACUGUGCCAUUUGAAUGGGAGGAAUAAAGCCCAUAUUUUCUGCUCUUUUGUUCAUGGCACAUCAUUGAAUACUUCAUGGAUUCAUUUCCAUCUACACCCACAUGGUAAAGAUGUAACGUCUCUUUUAAUUUAGCCAACUCUGAUUCUUUCUGAGCAAUCUUUUCUGCUGCCUCCUGUUCAACAGCACAUAUCAUACCCUUGACAACUGAAUCACUCACCAUUCUUGACACAACCAACCGCUCCUUUAUAUCUUCCCAAUAUGUCUCCAGAUCAUUAAGGAUGUCCACACCCAGAUUCUCAUUCUCCUCAUCAGUGUCACGAUGAUGCACUGUACCACUGUUGCAUGAACUGAGACCAGCAUCCAUAUUGAUUGACGUCUCCAAAAACUCUGGACUCUCCAUCCACUUUCAAUGAAACACAAACACCACCAAAACUCAAAGUGACAAUGCAGAAGAACAAGCUAAAUUACCCAUAAAAGCUUCAACCCAUAAGAAUCCAUGCCCCGAAUAAGAAAAUAGGUUCUGGCGACCAAUCUGAGAAAAUAAAAACUCAAAAUUCAGGAAAGAAAAAAUCAAGAAGCGCUUGAAAAUCCCAAUACAGCCACUGAAUUUAGUUAAAAAAAGCUGCUUCAAAGGAAAGGUUCUACCUUUCCCCUCGU
Molecule: unclassified non-coding RNA, 3411 nt
Filed under: Hevea brasiliensis (rubber tree)
Lineage: Eukaryota; Viridiplantae; Streptophyta; Magnoliopsida; Malpighiales; Euphorbiaceae
Source: RNAcentral